RNAcentral lists this small RNA (76 nucleotides) under Phreatobacter oligotrophus. Its description in RNAcentral is "suhB". It matches the Rfam family "Makes More Granules Regulator RNA (mmgR)". Rfam says of the family: SuhB later renamed mmgR (makes more granules regulator) was a putative non-coding RNA found multiple times in the Agrobacterium tumefaciens genome and related alpha-proteobacteria. Other non-coding RNAs uncovered in the same analysis include: speF, ybhL, metA, and serC. The record is from RNAcentral. Lineage: Bacteria; Pseudomonadati; Pseudomonadota; Alphaproteobacteria; Hyphomicrobiales; Phreatobacteraceae.
CCACGCAGCCCUUCUUGGGCGUUUCCUCCCUAGACUUCGGGCCGCUUGGUGACAGGCGGCCCCUUUUUCAUGGGCC